This 772-nucleotide ribosomal RNA is filed under the name uncultured Pseudomonas sp. RNAcentral's name for it is "bacterial SSU rRNA". It matches the Rfam family "Bacterial small subunit ribosomal RNA", at positions 725 to 1498 of the family's 1533-position model. The record is from RNAcentral. Lineage: Bacteria; Pseudomonadati; Pseudomonadota; Gammaproteobacteria; Pseudomonadales; Pseudomonadaceae.
CCACCUGGACUGGUGAGACAGUGAGGUGGGAAAGCGUGGGGAGCAAACAGGAUUAGAUACCUGGUAGUCCACGCCGUAAACGAUGUCAACUAGCCGUUGGAAUCCUUGAGAUUUUAGUGGCGCAGCUAACGCAUUAAGUUGACCGCCUGGGGAGUACGGCCGCAAGGUUAAAACUCAAAUGAAUUGACGGGGGCCCGCACAAGCGGUGGAGCAUGUGGUUUAAUUCGAAGCAACGCGAAGAACCUUACCAGGCCUUGACAUGCAGAGAACUUUCCAGAGAUGGAUUGGUGCCUUCGGGAACUCUGACACAGGUGCUGCAUGGCUGUCGUCAGCUCGUGUCGUGAGANGUUGGGUUAAGUCCCGUAACGAGCGCAACCCUUGUCCUUAGUUACCAGCACGUUAUGGUGAGCACUCUAAGGAGACUGCCGGUGACAAACCGGAGGAAGGUGGGGAUGACGUCAAGUCAUCAUGGCCCUUACGGCCUGGGCUACACACGUGCUGCAAUGGUCGGUACAGAGGGUUGCCAAGCCGCGAGGUGGAGCUAAUCUCACAAAACCGAUCGUAGUCCGGAUCGCAGUCUGCAACUCGACUGCGUGAAGUCGGAAUCGCUAGUAAUCGCGAAUCAGAAUGUCGCGGUGAAUACGUUCCCGGGCCUUGUACACACCGCCCGUCACACCAUGGGAGUGGGUUGCACCAGAAGUAGCUAGUCUAACCUUCGGGAGGACGGUUACCACGGUGUGAUUCAUGACUGGGGUGAAGUCGUAACAAGGUA